UGGGAGGAAAUCAAGGCUAUAAUAAGGGAGAUGGUAUGUGAAGAGAAAAGAGAGUUGGAGGUGUGGAGAGGAGGAGUUCCAGCAGCUGUGUAGAGUAAAUAGAGGUCUUGAGAAGAAGCUGGACAUUUUCCAGCAGAGGGCUGGACAGCAGCUGGACGCUACAGGAGAGGAGAACGCACAGUACAGUGAUGGAAGGCUAUGGUUGAGCAGUGUGCAAAUUAGCAACAACGUUUGGCAGUGGAAGGAGCAAGAGAAGUGGAGAACGGGUUUGAUCAGAGUGUGAGGGAUUACAAUUCCCAUAUGCCAUUUGCCUUUCGUGUGCAGCCAAUGCAGCCAAAUCUUCAAGAAAGGAUCUGAUAUAAUACUCUGUCAAAUCAAAACUCCAUCUUGCUGUUUUCAUCACAAUCUUAUGUGCAUGUCACAACUUUUUAAGUAUGUUUUGCUAUCUGUUUGUUGCUAAUAAACAACUCAAUUUCACUUCGUCAUUCAACUCACUCUUAUGCGUCUCCGACUUUGUCUCCUGUUUUGUGUGUUUGUCUCACUAUUAUAUAUACUUUCGCCUCCUCA
Vigna angularis (adzuki bean) is the source of this 567-nucleotide long non-coding RNA. RefSeq lists it as uncharacterized. The transcript is spliced from 2 exons. The record is from RefSeq and is a predicted model, not a curated record. NCBI's taxonomy places the organism in Eukaryota, Viridiplantae, Streptophyta, Magnoliopsida, Fabales, Fabaceae.